RNAcentral lists this ribosomal RNA (492 nucleotides) under uncultured bacterium. RNAcentral's name for it is "partial 16S ribosomal RNA". It matches the Rfam family "Bacterial small subunit ribosomal RNA", at positions 29 to 507 of the family's 1533-position model. The record is from RNAcentral.
AGUGAACGCUGGCUGUAGGCCUAACACAUGCAAGUCGAACGGCAGCACAGUAAGAGCUUGCUCUUACGGGUGGCGAGUGGCGGACGGGUGAGGAAUACAUCGGAAUCUACUUUUUCGUGGGGGAUAACGUAGGGAAACUUACGCUAAUACCGCAUACGACCUACGGGUGAAAGCAGGGGAUCUUCGGACCUUGCGCGAUUGAAUGAGCCGAUGUCGGAUUAGCUAGUUGGCGGGGUAAAGGCCCACCAAGGCGACGAUCCGUAGCUGGUCUGAGAGGAUGAUCAGCCACACUGGAACUGAGACACGGUCCAGACUCCUACGGGAGGCAGCAGUGGGGAAUAUUGGACAAUGGGCGCAAGCCUGAUCCAGCCAUGCCGCGUGGGUGAAGAAGGCCUUCGGGUUGUAAAGCCCUUUUGUUGGGAAAGAAAAGCAGCAGGUUAAUACCCCGCUGUUCUGACGGUACCCAAAGAAUAAGCACCGGCUAACUUCGUG